UCCGUUUCCUCCCUUCUGGGUGGGACCCACCCCUGACCCUGGCGUCACAGUGGGCUGUCCAGGCAGCAUCUGCCAGCCCCUUAGCUACUGAGGCCUCCCUGCCCCCACUCUGGCCAGCAGGCUGACAGCAGAGGACAGCAUAGAGGGAGGAUGGUGCAGAGAGAGAAUGGUGAACUGUGGCUCUCAGCCUCCGUGCUCUCGAAAAGCCCACCUGCCUUCCCAAGCAACUCAGCUGGGAGGGAGCUCAGGACGCGUCAUGGCCUCUGCUGACCUUAGUAUCCCUCCCUGCUUGUGAAGGGAAAUGACUGAAGCUGGUCCUUCCACAGUUGGGCCCCCUUUAAGGAACCAACGAGGUACAGAGCAGCCAGGCCCUGCACUAGCCCAGCUCAAAAGCAGAGGGCCCAUGACAACGGAUUGCACUCUGGAGCUUCAUGACCCACUGCAGCCUCUCCUGGAGGCACCAGGACCCUCUGGUCCCACAGCUCCAUCUGAAGUAAAGCCCUCCACAGGCUGACAACUUUCCACUGCUCUGGAGAAAAGGGACUGGAGAGUCCCUUGAGAAUCAAGACUCCCAGAGAGAAAAAAAUAGCACAUUAAGACUGGAACAGGACUGGUAGAGCUCUUCCUAGCAUGCUUCAGGCCCUGGGUUCAAUCAGCAGCAACGUGGAAAGAAAACUUGGGAUAGCAAAGGGUAUAAGGACUAGAAGACCCGAGUGUGCAUCCUACAUCUGCCAUUUCAAGCUGCAAGUUUGUUCUGUAGAUAAAAAAUAAAUGCC
Long non-coding RNA from Heterocephalus glaber (naked mole-rat), 776 nucleotides. Lineage: Eukaryota; Metazoa; Chordata; Mammalia; Rodentia; Bathyergidae. The record is from Ensembl.